Vicia villosa (hairy vetch) is the source of this 415-nucleotide long non-coding RNA. RefSeq lists it as uncharacterized. The record is from RefSeq and is a predicted model, not a curated record. NCBI's taxonomy places the organism in Eukaryota, Viridiplantae, Streptophyta, Magnoliopsida, Fabales, Fabaceae. The transcript has 2 exons.
AUAAAGGAAUUGGGAAAAGAGGAGAGGAAAGGAGACAGACUCUGAGAAAGGGAGAACACGUGAAGUGAGAAGAGCCAAAGGGGAAGAAGAUCUUCGAAGAUUCGACUCUGAGAUUAAGGAUGUAGCGGCGUCUUGAUUGGGUGAAGAUAGCUUGUAAGCUAGCCCGUAGUUCGUGUCGAGUCAUGCUCUGAUUGUAACACUGGGGAACGAUAGUUUAGAGACGAAUGAUUAUGUCGGUCUUGUUGUUUUAUGAUUGUUUUAUAAUAACUUGCAUGGAUAAUGAAUAUGCAAUGUUAUGGAUUAUUGUCCGCUGUGUUGAACAUGAAUUGUAAUUAUGUUAAGUGGUUCCUCGUGUAGCAUGACAAAUGACUAUGGUAUUUUUCUGUUAAAGAAGUUGUGACAUCCUUGUAUUUCA